This 212-nucleotide long non-coding RNA is filed under the name Lathyrus oleraceus (garden pea). RNAcentral describes it as "Pisum sativum (pea) long non-coding RNA (PSAT_LNC016499)". Lineage: Eukaryota; Viridiplantae; Streptophyta; Magnoliopsida; Fabales; Fabaceae. The record is from RNAcentral.
UUUUUUUUGUUUCUUAGCCAGUUAGCUAAAAGGUCAACCCUGAAAUAAUAUUAUCCCUUGAUUGAAGCGCCCUUGAGCCUAUUAUCCCUUUUUUGUUUAAAACUCAUUACAAACUGAAAAGUGAAAAACAAUGUUAUCACCAUAUUCAAAGGGUUGAAAGAGUCUUGUUUGGAGUUGUGUGGGGUUGAAUAAUUAUGUUUGUAAUAUUUUAG